UACGGAGGGUGCGAGCGUUGUCCGGAAUCAUUGGGCGUAAAGGGCGCGUAGGUGGCCCGGUCAGUCCGUGGUGAAAGCGCGGGGCUCAACCCUGCGUCGGCCAUGGAUACUGCCGCGGCUCGACCACUGUAGAGGCAGGCGGAAUUCCGGGUGUAGCGGUGGAAUGCGUAGAGAUCCGGAAGAACACCGGUGGCGAAGGCGGCCUGCUGGGCAGUAUAGCUGACACUGAGGCGCGACAGCGUGGGGAGCAAACAGG
Molecule: ribosomal RNA, 256 nt
Filed under: uncultured bacterium
Lineage: Bacteria
Description: partial 16S ribosomal RNA
Rfam family: Bacterial small subunit ribosomal RNA
Source: RNAcentral